Molecule: ribosomal RNA, 459 nt
Filed under: uncultured bacterium
Lineage: Bacteria
Description: partial 16S ribosomal RNA
Rfam family: Bacterial small subunit ribosomal RNA
Source: RNAcentral
CCUACGGGUGGCAGCAGUGAGGAAUAUUGGUCAAUGGGCGGAAGCCUGAACCAGCCAAGUAGCGUGAAGGAUGACGGCCCUACGUAUUGUAAACUUCUUUUGUCAGGGAAUAAAGCCCCUUACGUGUCCCGCUUUGCGUGUACCUUAUGAAUAAGGAUCGGCUAACUCCGUGCCAGCAGCCGCGGUAAUACGGAGGAUCCGAGCGUUAUCCGGAUUUAUUGGGUUUAAAGGGGGCGUAGGCGGCCUGUUAAGUCAGCGGUAAAAGCCCGGGGCUCAACCCCGGCGUGCCGUUGAAACUGGCGGGCUGGAGUUGGCGAGAAGUACGCGGAAUGCGCGGUGUAGCGGUGAAAUGCUUAGAUAUCGCGAAGAACCCCGAUUGCGAAGGCAGCUUGCCGGCGCGGAACUGACGCUGAGGCACGAAAGCGUGGGUAUCGAACAGGAUUAGAUACCCGUGUAGUC